CAGGCCUAACACAUGCAAGUCGAACGAGAAAGGGGAGCAAUCCCUGAGUAAAGUGGCGACCGGGUGAGUAACACGUGACUAACCUACCUUUUAGUGGGGGAUAACAUCGGGAAACCGAUGCUAAUACCGCAUAACAUCGCAAGAUCAAAGCAGCAAUGCGCUGGAAGAGGGGGUCGCGGCUGAUUAGCUAGUUGGCGGGGUAACGGCCCACCAAGGCGAAGAUCGGUAUCCGGCCUGAGAGGGCGCACGGACACACUGGAACUGAAACACGGUCCAGACUCCUACGGGAGGCAGCAGUGGGGAAUUUUGCGCAAUGGGGGAAACCCUGACGCAGCAACGCCGCGUGGAGGAUGAAGCCCCUUGGGGCGUAAACUCCUUUCGACCAAGACGAUAAUGACGGUACCGGAAGAAGAAGCACCGGCUAACUCUGUGCCAGCAGCCGCGGUAAUACA
Molecule: ribosomal RNA, 452 nt
Filed under: uncultured Acidobacteriota bacterium
Lineage: Bacteria; Pseudomonadati; Acidobacteriota
Description: bacterial SSU rRNA
Rfam family: Bacterial small subunit ribosomal RNA
Source: RNAcentral